AGUGAACGCUGGCGGUAGGCCUAACACAUGCAAGUCGAACGGCAGCACAGUAAGAGCUUGCUCUUACGGGUGGCGAGUGGCGGACGGGUGAGGAAUACAUCGGAAUCUACUUUUUCGUGGGGGAUAACGUAGGGAAACUUACGCUAAUACCGCAUACGACCUACGGGUGAAAGCAGGGGAUCUUCGGACCUUUCGCGAUUGAAUGAGCCGAUGUCGGAUUAGCUAGUUGGCGGGGUAAAGGCCCACCAAGGCGACGAUCCGUAGCUGGUCUGAGAGGAUGAUCAGCCACACUGGAACUGAGACACGGUCCAGACUCCUACGGGAGGCAGCAGUAGGGAAUAUUGGACAAUGGGCGCAAGCCUGAUCCAGCCAUACCGCGUGGGUGAAGAAGGCCUUCGGGUUGUAAAGCCCUUUUGUUGGGAAAGAAAAGCAGCAGGUUAAUACCCCGCUGUUCUGACGGUACCCAAAGAAUAAGCACCGGCUAACUUCGUG
RNAcentral lists this ribosomal RNA (492 nucleotides) under uncultured bacterium. RNAcentral describes it as "partial 16S ribosomal RNA". It matches the Rfam family "Bacterial small subunit ribosomal RNA", at positions 29 to 507 of the family's 1533-position model. The record is from RNAcentral.